GAGUUUGAUCUUGGCUCAGGACGAACGCUGGCGGCGUGCUUAACACAUGCAAGUCGAACGAUGAAGCCCUUCGGGGUGGAUUAGUGGCGAACGGGUGAGUAACACGUGGGCAAUCUGCCCUGCACUCUGGGACAAGCCCUGGAAACGGGGUCUAAUACCGGAUACUGAUCGCCUUGGGCAUCCUUGGUGAUCGAAAGCUCCGGCGGUGCAGGAUGAGCCCGCGGCCUAUCAGCUUGUUGGUGAGGUAAUGGCUCACCAAGGCGACGACGGGUAGCCGGCCUGAGAGGGCGACCGGCCACACUGGGACUGAGACACGGCCCAGACUCCUACGGGAGGCAGCAGUGGGGAAUAUUGCACAAUGGGCGAAAGCCUGAUGCAGCGACGCCGCGUGAGGGAUGAC
This 400-nucleotide ribosomal RNA is filed under the name uncultured Actinomycetes bacterium. RNAcentral's name for it is "bacterial SSU rRNA". It matches the Rfam family "Bacterial small subunit ribosomal RNA", at positions 9 to 412 of the family's 1533-position model. The record is from RNAcentral. Lineage: Bacteria; Bacillati; Actinomycetota; Actinomycetes.